Molecule: ribosomal RNA, 464 nt
Filed under: uncultured bacterium
Lineage: Bacteria
Description: partial 16S ribosomal RNA
Rfam family: Bacterial small subunit ribosomal RNA
Source: RNAcentral
ACGAACGCUGGCGGCGUGCUUAACACAUGCAAGUCGAACGGAAAGGCCCCUUUGGGGGUCCUCGAGUGGCGAACGGGUGAGUAACACGUGAGUAACCUGCCCUUGACUUCGGGAUAACUUCAGGAAACUGGGGCUAAUACCGGAUAGGAAUCCUUGCUGCAUGGUGGGGGUUGGAAAGCUUCGGCGGUUUUGGAUGGACUCGCGGCUUAUCAGCUUGUUGGUGGGGUAGUGGCUUACCAAGGCUUUGACGGGUAGCCGGCCUGAGAGGGCGACCGGCCACAUUGGGACUGAGAUACGGCCCAGACUCCUACGGGAGGCAGCAGUGGGGAAUAUUGCACAAGGGGCGGAAGCCUGAUGCAGCAACGCCGCGUGCGGGAUGACGGCCUUCGGGUUGUAAACCGCUUUCAGCAGGGGCGAAGCUUGUGGUGACGGUACCUGCAGAAGAAGCACCGGCUAACUACGUG